This 347-nucleotide ribosomal RNA is filed under the name uncultured Anoxybacillus sp. RNAcentral describes it as "bacterial SSU rRNA". It matches the Rfam family "Bacterial small subunit ribosomal RNA", at positions 1035 to 1382 of the family's 1533-position model. Lineage: Bacteria; Bacillati; Bacillota; Bacilli; Caryophanales; Anoxybacillaceae. The record is from RNAcentral.
CAGGUGGUGGCAUGGUUGUCGUCAGCUCGUGUCGUGAGAUGUUGGGUUAAGUCCCGCAACGAGCGCAACCCUCGACCUUAGUUGCCAGCAUUCAGUUGGGCACUCUAAGGUGACUGCCGGCUAAAAGUCGGAGGAAGGUGGGGAUGACGUCAAAUCAUCAUGCCCCUUAUGACCUGGGCUACACACGUGCUACAAUGGGCGGUACAAAGGGUCGCGAACCCGCGAGGGGGAGCCAAUCCCAAAAAGCCGCUCUCAGUUCGGAUUGCAGGCUGCAACUCGCCUGCAUGAAGCCGGAAUCGCUAGUAAUCGCGGAUCAGCAUGCCGCGGUGAAUACGUUCCCGGGCCUU